RNAcentral lists this long non-coding RNA (12949 nucleotides) under Homo sapiens (human). RNAcentral's name for it is "HSALNT0299520". The record is from RNAcentral. Lineage: Eukaryota; Metazoa; Chordata; Mammalia; Primates; Hominidae.
AAUUCCUCAGGGUGGCCGCCGUCCUCCUCCCCUUGGUGGGAGGGCGGAGGUAGCUGGGAGCUGUGUUGGCCACCACUGGCUGCCAACGCAGCUCGAGUUGGGAGAGUUGUCGCCAGUCUCUGGCUGUAAGCAGGAGGUUUGUUAGGAAUCAGCAUUGUCUACUUAUGAAGAUUUAUGGAGAAGCUGACAAACAUUAAGCUUUGAAGCCGAAGUCAGUUUAUCGUCUACGGAAGCAUCUAGCACUCUGUGCGAUUGGUGAAUGACUGGCCCCCACACACCUGCCACCCAGUAAAACGGCCAGGAGUGGUGCUUGCUGCUGGCCAGUGAAACAAGCACCUUUGAGGGCUUGACCUCCAGGCACAGCAUGUCCAGCCAGGAAGGCCUCCUCACUCUGCUAAGUGUUGAGCCUGGGUGUUUUUCAGACUCACUUUCAGGGCACCGUGAGUGGGUGGGGAGGCGGCGGGGGGGCAGAAGGCGAAGCACUAACCACAGCCCGUGCUGUCCAUCUGCUUCAGCCUCUGGUUAUGGGAAGCCAGGGAGUGGGGAUGGUAGGAUUUCCAGAGGGAUCUCACUCCCCCCGGGUUUGCUGAUUAGAAAAGACACUUGGGGCGCGGGGGCUCACGCCUGUAAAUCCCAGCACUUUGAGAGGCCAAAGCGGGUGGAUCAUCUGAGGUAAGGAGUUCAAGACUAGCCUGGUCAACAUGGUGAAACACAGUCUCUACUAAAAAUACAAAAAUUAGCCAGGUAUGGUGGCGGGCGCCUGUAGUCCCAGCUACUCGGGAGGCUGAGACAAGAGAAUUGCUUGAACCCGGGUGGCAGAGGUUGCAGUGAGCCGAGAUCACACCAUUGCACUCCAGUCUGGGUGACAGAGCAAGACUUUGUCUCAAAAAAAAAAAGACACUGGGGCCAGACAGCCCAUGCCAAUCACUGUCUUUCCCUUCGACUGAAGACGCAGGCACACUGCUUCCAUGGAGGUGAACAAGAACAGGCCACUUUCUGCACAUUCUGCAGGACUGAAAAAGCACACCAGGGUGUUUGUUUGUUUAUUUGUUUGUUUUGUUUUGUUUUGAGGUGGAGCCUGGCUCUGUCGACCAGGCUGGAGUGCAGUGGCGUGACCUUGGCUCACUGCAAGCUUCGCCUCCCAGGUUCACGCCAUUCUCCUGUCUCAGCCUCCUGAGUAGCUGGGACUACAGGCGCCCGCCACCAUGCCUGGCUAAUUUUUGUAUUUUUAGUAGAGAUGGGGUUUCACCAUAUUGACCAGGCUGGUUUCGAACUCCUGACGUUGUGAUCUGCCCACCUCAGCCUCCCAAAGUGCUGGGAUUGCAGGAGUGAGCCGCCGCACCCAGCUGAGUGGUUUGUUCUUUGUGGGGAGGUGUACAGGGGCUUGGAGAGAGCACUGAAAUCAGAGAUUUCUUGCUGGGUUCAGAGCUCAUCAGUUUGAGAUUUAACCAAUGAGCAGGCACCGAUAAAGUAAAAUGCAAGAAUGAAAACAAAAGUUAGAAAUGGCAUUUGCAAAGUCCUGGGUAACUUUUGGUGCUUGUAUGUUGCUUGGGCCUGUCUGUAGUGGUGGGUUUAUGAUGUCCAUAAAUGUGCUAUCUGAGCAAUUUAAUUUGUGGGUGCUUUAUGAAAAAGCAGCAGAGAGACUUCUAAAGCAGAUGAUGUGACUAGCAUUCAAAGGACCUGCAGGGUUUCCUCUGGAGCAGACCCUGUCACCUUUCUUGGUGAGCAUCUUGUCAGAUCUGUCCACACUCUGUGCCCUGUACAGCGCUGACGGCAGAAGAGGCUGUGAUAAGCAGGUGAUGAACAAAUGAAUGAGCAAGGAUAUGCUUACUGUUCUCACUUUAAUGAUGAGGAGAUCUCAUCAAGAAGAUAUUCAGCAGCUUGCACCAGGGAUGUGGGUACUUAACUUGGAAACCUGGACUUGCAUCGGCCCACAUGCCCUCUGGCCUGGCCUUUUCCACUUCCUUGUCUUGUGAGCUGGUGAGGACUAAUUUUUGCUUGUGCUUUCAUAGGACCAAAUGGGAGAAAUUCCGUUAAAGCAACAUAAAGAACUUAUUCGCCAUCCAGGCAGCAUGCAGCAAGGGCAAAUUCUGGAAUCCCUCCCCCAGGAAAGAUGUUUUUAAAGAAAGAACAGCUCAGUCAUCCGUUCUAGACAGUAUUACCCCAUCACUUAGCAUUUGUAUGGCUUUAAGCUCUUCACGGAGCAUUUUCAUCUGUAGGACUUCAUUUGAUUUGCAUAGCAACUCUGUAGCUAUAGGUAUUGUUGCAUUUUCUGGUAAGAAAACCGAGAUGCAGAGCAGCUGUGUUCUCUCCAGGAUCACACAGCUAGCGAGAGGCAGAGCCAGUAUUUCCCAUAAGCAGUCAACACUGAAGAUUAAGGCUGGGUCCCCAAGACUGUACGACCUGGGGAUUGUAAUAAUUGCUAACAUGAAGCACUAGUGUCGCUAGCAUGUUGUAUGUUAACUCAUCUGACUCACAGCAACCCUACGAAGUGGGCACCAUCCUCACUCCUAUUUCUCAGAUGAGAAAAUUGAGGCACAGAGAAAAUAAUAACUUGUUGAAGGACACCCAACUGGUAAGUUGCAGAGACAUGAGUUGAAUCCACAGGGUUCUUCACCACUAAUCACCUGUCUCCAAAAACAGGUGAAGAUGCCGUGAUCACGGUUCCCACGUGGCAUCUGGAGGGUCCUCUCGCUUACUCAAGGACAGUGGCAGAGUGUGCCUCUGUGGGCCUUGAAAAGCUGGGAAUACAUCACCCACAGAGGAACUGACCUCACAUCUCAGAAGCCUUUAACAACCUUAAGUCCUGAACUGCCCAGAACAGAGAGAGGAACAACAGCAUCUAAAGCUGAACCAAAACAAGUGAGAAUGAACUGUGGCUGUGUGUCCUCUGCUCAGCCCCAGAUGACAUGAGGGUUUCUCAAAGCACAAGGAACUGCACAAGCAGCACCUGGGGAAAGGUGCACCGUCGCUCAGCAUUAUGGAGGUGGGCCCAGGCUGCCCAGGGCUGAGCGUGGGCCUGUGCGGUGUCCCUAAGAGAAAGCAGGGAACCCUACAGGACUACAGAAACAUAGACAGAAACUGUUCAUAACUGAUGCCUCAGUAGUAAACCUGACACACUGGGGGACUCUCUUAGCCAGAAGAAAGGGGAUUGCUUUUGCAUUUUUCUUUGAAACUAUUUGCUACAGGCGAGGAGCUGCCAUCCCCCAAAUGUCAGAGAGGGGACAGGGGUCUGCAGAGUUGCUGGAUGAAGUGACUUGGCCCUUGUAGCAGAAGGUAAAUUGGCACAGCUCCGUGAGGCCUGAGCUGCCGAGGUAACACGCAUGACUGCUCCCGACAGCAGCAUGGGCUCUGACACCGAGCCCGGGGAGGCCUGGCGGCUUGGAGAUUGGGGACUGGUGCCGAGCAUCCUGGAGUUGGACAAUUGGCCUGCUCGUGGUUGGGCCACCGUAGGCUGCUGCUAGUUCCGGCUUUUGCUGGGUACCAUUUUUCCUUUCCAGAAUCCUCUCUGUUUACAGUUCCCUUAUCUUCCCCUUCUGUUUCCAUCCUUGUUUUAUAUGAAGAAUGAGGCUACAUAUUCAAGGCUUCUCUUCCCAAAUAUCCAGUCAAUUAACUUCUUUAUUUAUUAAUUCAUCUAUUAAUCAAUCAUGAUUAAUAUCCUAUCAUUGAGUAGCCGCUGACUAUAUGCUGAGCCCUGUGCCAGGCCCUGUAUACACCGCACAGAGGUGAGUAAAACAUGGUACCUCCCCUGGAGGAGUUACUAGACUUAAUUUGGGAGGUCAAAAGCAAAAAUCAGUUUCAGUAAGAAAAUAAUUAGGCAAGGAUCCGUGAACUGCUGUAACUCUGAGAUCCAGAAGAAAGGGCUGAUUCAGUGAUCCCAGGAAGGGCAGCCCUGGUUGCCAUCCCCUAAUAUGACCACCCCCAUACUCCCCUCUGGCUUCAGAGAGGUGACAGGGGUUGAAAUGGAAGCACACUGGAGUCUGGUUCCCUGGCAUUCCUAGAGACUUCCAUCUGACACUUUUCCAGCUUUUCUAAACUACCUAAGGGCCUCAGAGAGGCAAGCUGUGGAAGGCUGGCCCAUCCAGGUCUCCUCCGCAGGGAGGAACGCAGGCAGGGGCGGUAACGGCUACCCAGGAGGACACAUUUUUUGAAGAUACAUCACUUUAGUGAGAAUACUUUUAUGAAGGAUUUGAUAUCCUUUGCUGUAAUCUUGGAACAAACCUACAAGGUGGACACAGUUAUUUCCACUCUGCACAUGGAGCAGCCUGAGGCCCUGAGGCCCAGAGAGGUUAAAUACUCCACGCCUGGUCUCACAGUGAGUUACAGACACGGCAAGUAUUUCAUCUCACGUAGCAGAGGUUCUCCAAAGACAGACAGGAGGUUCUUGUCAGCUGUUCCAUGGAUGACCGUAGAAUUGGACCACCAAGACUUGCGCAAGAUGAUUUUAAAAAGGAUUGCCAUGGAGAGAUCUCUCAUUCUCGAUGAAAGGUGAUGUAGAGUUUUUUUAAAUUUUUGGGGCUUCUGGUUUUUGUUCAUUUCUCUAAGGAGAGUGUAUGGAGAAUGAGAACUUUGCCCUACGUUCCUGGACACGGGAAAUAACUUGAGGUUGUGCCAAGCCUGCACGGCUAUAGCUGAGUGGCUGCAGCUGGGGUUAGUUUGUUAGAUUUGCCUGAUCAGUCACAGAGCAAGUACCUGAAGAAAGGACAUGUACAUUAUGAUGAGGACGGAGGAAGGGCCUUCCUGAUAGUGCACAACCCAAUGGAAGGAGCUUGUGGAAUGGGGAUCAGGGGUGUUCCUGACACCAGGUGACAGGAUGGUGCCAGAAACCUUUUGGAGUUAUAGUGUUGGCUUAGAGCUGGCCCAGGAGAAAACAGAUUACAAAGUUUAAGUCUUUGAAAGAAACUUCGAGAACAUAUAGGCCACCUCUCUUGUUUUCCAGAUGAAGAAACAGAGAGGUCAAGUGACUCGUCCACAGCUGCAGAGGUCAUUAGAGAUACAGCUGAGUCUUGGCUGCUGAUUUUUCAACUUCCUAUCACGAGCUAUUUCUAUCAUAUGGUAUUCUAGACCAGAGAUCAGCAAAUUCUUCCUGUAAAGGGCCAAAUAGUGAAUAUUUUAGACUGGGUGGGCCAUACAGCUUCUGUGGCCACUAUUCAACUCAGCUGUUUUAGCCCCAAAGAAGCCAUUGACAGUAUAUAGACAAAUGUACAUGGCUAUGUUCUAAUAAAACUUUAUUUUAAAAGGUAGGUGGCAGGCCCAAUUUGGCCCACAGGCCAUAGUUUAAUGGCUCCUGCUCUAGAUAUUUCUCUUCCUCAAACAUACCCUCCAUGGUAAGGAAAUUGUCACAGUUUAGAGGUGGUUUGAAGGAUAGCACUUCAUCUUCCAAAAUUCAGGGCAUUAGAGCACUCAAGCAAGAUUUGGUGCUAUGUCCUUAAAAAGGAGAAAAGAAGUAGGGUGCCAGUUUUGUGAACAUGAGCAAAAAGAUUGUUUGUGGCCUAGUGCAGUGGUUCAUGCCUGUAAUCCCAGCACUUUGGGAGGCCAAGGACGGUGGAUCACUUGAGGCCAGGAGUUCAACACCAGCCUGGCCAACAUGGCAAAACCUGGUCUCUAUUAAAAAUACAAAAAUUAGCCAGGUGUGGUGGUGCACACCUGUAAUUCCAGCUACCCGGGAGACUGAGACAGGACAAUUGCUUGAACCCAGGAGGUGGAGGUUGAGUGAGCCGAUAUCAUGCCACUGCACUCCAGCCUGGGCGACAGACAGACUCUGUGUCAAAAAAAAAAAAAAAAAAAAAAAAAAAAAAGGAAGGAAAGAAAGAGAGAGAGAGAGAGAUUAUUUGAGGAAAGAAAGAGUAAAGAGAGAUAACCCUCACACUUGAUACCUUAUAGCUCAAAAAGAAUCACAAACGAGGUGUGAUGUCCAAUUAUGAGGCAGGAGUAAUGCAUGUCAGCUUUCCAAUGACCUUUAGUAAGCCUCUCCUUAAUUUUAGAAGGGGUUCAGAUUAUAGUUGAUUAAAGAACUAAAAUGGAUAAAUAAUUGUUCCCCGGAACCACCCCGCUCAUCUCCUUGUGGGCAAAUAGGUUUAUAAAAACUCAGUCCACAGCUUGAAGGUGUCUGACUAUGUUACAACCCAGCCCAAGGACAAGGGGAAGAAGGAGCAUUCAGGGAGACGUGGUGAGAAUGCAAGAAGCUCGUACUCAACACAGUGGUGUGUUCAAUAGAGGGAAAAUGACCCUAAGACCCUGCAGUGAUGGACUUCUAUGAGUUUCCAAGUUUGGAACCUCAGGAUUCUUGAUGGGCUAAAUCUUCAAAACCAUGUUAAUUUUCUUUAAUGGCAUCACUUUGUCUUUAGAAUCCACAUCUUCCUGAUAGGUGAUAUCCUCUCUUCUUCAUCAGAAAAAUGACCUUCCAAACUCUUAAGACUCAAGAUUUCCUAAUGAAAAUACUCCAAAGCGGCUCCUAGUCUCAUGAAGUUUGACUCACUUGAAAAUAUCUAGCACGUACAGAGUAAUAAAUUGUAUCGCCCCUUCCAAUUCUGAAACUAAAAUCUACACAAUUCCAGCCUCUGCCAACUUCCUGUUUUCCCGUCGUGGAGCAGACUAAGAGUUCCUGGAGCCUGGAAGACACACAGCUCCCCUCAAAUCUUCCCGCCCUUGUCCCUCCAUCCGGGAGCAGGCAGGUGAGCGGUGGCCACAGCUGUAGUCUUUGGGUGUUUUGAAACUGAUUAUCGGAUUCCUUAGAUGCAACUUUUAAUGGGACACAAGUCUAGCUUUACAGAUAGGCUCAACACGAACCGUUUGAAUGACUCCUUCAGAGCUUAGGGGAAAGGGUGCUGAUGGUAACUACUAUCUGAGCAUCUAUCUGAGAAGCAUCAUGCUAAUGGUAUUGGCUAUCACUUAAAGUUUUUGACUGUCUUUACCCAAGUCAGUUAUUUCUUCAGGGGUUGCAAAAUGGUUACUUUCUUUUUUUGAGACGGAGUCUCCCGCCGUUGCCCAAGCUGGAGUGCAGGGGUGGGAUCUUAGCUCACUGCAACCUCUGCGUCCCGGAUUCAAGCGAUUCUUAUGCCUCAUGAUUAGCUGAGAUUACAAGCGGCCACCACCACGCCCGGCUAAUUUUUGUAUUCUUGGUAGAGACAAGGUUUUACCAUGUUGGCCAAGCUGGUCUCAAACUCCUGACCUCAUGAUCCACCUGCCUCUGCCUCCUAAAGAGCUGGGAUUACAAGCGUGAGCCACUGUUCCUGAACAGUACUUUAAGUUUUUAAGUCAUCUCAUGCUCAGAGGCAGCGCUCUUUCAGGCUUUCAGCCUAUGAGUCUAUGCUGCUCCUGUGAACCCCUCUGGCACUCACUUUAUCUGUUCCCUAUCUUCUCCCUUUUGGAAUGUUUUUGACUACUCUGAGAGGCAAUUAAAAAUGGUGGUGGGCUGGGGCAGUGGCUCAUACCUGUAAUCCCAGCACUUUGGGAGGCUGAGGCGGGCGGAUCACUUGAGGUCUGGAGUUCGAGACCAGCCUGGCCAACAUGGUGAAACACCAUCUCUACUAAAAAUACAAAAAUUAGCCGGGUGUGGUGGCGCGUGCCUGUAAUCCAAGCUACUCGGAAGGCUGAGACGGGAGAAUCGCUGGAACCCAGGAGGCGGAGGCUGCAGUGAGCCAAGAUGGUGUCACUGCACUCCAGCCUGAGCCACAGAGUGUCUCAAAAAACAACAACAACAACAAAAAACAAGUUGCACAAAUUCCCAUUAGGUUACUUCAACUUCAUUCUGGAUUCUGUGAAGUGAAUUUUGAAGGCUAGGAGCUGAUUCUGUUUUAUCCGAGUAGAAGGAAUAUGGAAACAUUUCUGCCUUGCCCUUCAUGUUUGAUUGAUACGUUUCACUUUGAAAGUUAAUUAUAUCUGAUGCGAAGGAAAGAAGGAAAGAUGCGAAGGAAAGAAAAAUAGAUGCUCUUUUCAUGAGUUUUCACUGUGAAAAUUCGGGUCAUCUGUUCAGUUUUCUCAUGCCUCAGUUUACUCAUCUCCCAGCUAAGGUAAUAUUCCUGGUUUUCAGAGGAGAGGAGAGGACCAGGAAUUGGAAAUCCUGCCAUUUGCAACAACGUGAGUGAACCUGGAGGACACUAUACUCAGUGAAAUAAACCAGGUACAGAAAGAAAAUACUGCACGAUCUCUUUUCUGUGCAGAAUCUAAAAGAGUCGAACUCAUAGAAACAGAGAGUAGGAGGGUGGUUAUCAAGGAACUGAGUCAUUGCAAUCCAUGGUCUCAUAGACUUAGUCCUCCAAGGUUGCUCUGUCUGACCCUUCACUCAUUUUGGGAAAGCUCUUCAGAGUGUCCCUGACCAGUGACGUUCAGCUCCGGAGUGACUCUUCCAGGGACCAGAGACGUCCAGAUUCAAGGCAACCAUUUCAUGUCCGAAUAGGUCUAAUUGUAAGAAUGUUCUUCCUCGUACUCCAACACCUUCCUGAGGUAUCUACCUGUUGGUUUAAGUUCUGCCUUUUGAAGCAAAGUAAAAACAGAUGGGAUCUUUCCCACAUUUUGUCUCUUCAGGUUUGACUUCUCUUUCAUAGGUAUAGUUGUAACUUGUUUGUGGUGCGCUGUAGAAGAGCAUUUUGACAAAAUAAAUGUGUCAUUAUAUUUGUCACAUUCAGUCCUGUUAUUAGUGAACUCCCAAUUAAACAAAGACAUGUUCUGGUGAUGUCGGGGGCCUAUUGGGUAUGCUUGCUCAAUACACAAGGCUUCUGAGACACAAGGAAUUCCAUUUCUGUACCACACAUCCCUAAGCCCUGACUGGAUGAUAACUGUUCUCUCAUCUGCCAUGUUCGCACAACUAAUGAGAUGGCUGCACUGCAAGGGUCGGACCAGGAAGAAAAGGACCUACCAGUUUUCAGGAAACUUUCAGAUGAGACACCUUGAAUACCUUUAUAAAUGGUAGUAUUUAAUCAAGAAACUACAGCACCAGCUAGGAGAGGUUUUUACCUAAGACCCUGACUUUAGGGCUGGAAGAAAUAUCAUUCAUUUAUUUGUUCAACAAAUAUUUGUUGAGUAUCUACUACGUGCCAUGAAAUGUUCUAGAUGUUUGUUCUGUAUCAGAGAGUAAACGGACAAAAAUUCCUGUACUUAUAAAUCUUACGUUCUGGAGAGGGGACUUUAAAAAUAUGCAUUACAACAUUAUAAUAAGUAAGUAAAUCACAUUGUAGGUGAAAAAGUGGCAAGUUAUUUAAAGAGAAAAAAAACAGAACAAAGUUAGCAGCAAGAAUACUGGAAGGCAGUGGUGACCGCGGUGAUUGCAAACAGGGUGUUAGGAGGGGCUUCUGGGAGAAGGUAACAGCUGGACCAAGAGACUUACUAGGAAUGACCAGGAAGGUGGCAAAACGCUAAGAGAAAGUAAAACAUAAACCUGUUAUCUUGAGUAUUUUAGAAGUCAUAGUUGAAGUGAUGGAGAGUUGCCUUUAAAAUGCUACCUGUGAUUUGGUCUUUGUAAACCAAGCUUUGUGAAAGGAGAUCUUGUCAUGGUGUGGUUAUUCAUGCCGAGAUGUCUGCUGGGCUGAGUGUGGGCGAUGCACAGAGGGGAGAGUGAUGUGCAGAGGGUAGAGCGAUGUGCAGAGGGAAGAGAGUGAUGUAAAGCCAAGAUGUGAUUUGUGCAACUCUGGAUGAUUUGAGGGGAAACCUACAGGGUCAGAGUCACAACCUAAAGGGACUGCCCAAGGCAGGAAGGAUGGGGCUGAUCCAAGAGGGCGCCUCCGCAGCACAGAAAGGGACAAAGAACCCCACCAGUGUAAUCAAAGAUAAGAAAAAGGCAGAAAAAAGAAUUCUUAGUCCUGCCUAUUUUAACUGAAGGAAUAGUUAAAAUAUACCUCACAGGCUAUAUCUCUCUGCACUGGUCUGAAAGCAGAUGAAAGCAGGGAGAUAAAUCAGGGAGACACUCCCCCCACACAUAUACACACCCUCCCCAAAUUGAGCUGAGGAGGAGGUAUUUGCAUAUUCUCUUGGUUUCUAUCACGGUUAGAAAUGUUGGAAAGGGUGUACCUAGGGCCUAACUCCUAAGGAAACUUACUGCUGAGCCAAUAGACAGAGCAUAGAUUCAAAAGCAUGCCUUGGGUCUCGAAAGGGAAAGGAUAGGGCCUUUGUCAGGAGAGACUGUCAUCUCAAGGGUUAAAGGUCUAUUGAAAAGGAGAUCAAAAAUUGGGAGCACAUAAAGGGGAUGGUCUUAUUCUUUGAGUCUUUGGGAUCAUCCUUGCAACAGAUCUCUACUGUGGACUGUGGACUGUGGACUGUGGACUGUGGACUCUGGACUGCCCUGAUGCUCCCUCCACCACAGGACAGCUUCCUUGGGCACCUAAAUGAGUUUUGUGUGCUCUAUUGUGAGGGAAAUACAGAGAUACCAGAUAGCCAGGGAGGGGGGGUGGGGCGGGGGGGAGGAACUUAGGUCCCAGGAAUUCAGGGUCUAAUGAAUGGGAUCCUCACCACCAACACACAAUGCUUCUCCAUUAGGCAACAAGGUAUUAAGGGGCCUAUGAAAUUAUUUGAGAAUUGAAACAUUUAUUGGCCCCAAAAGAAAACUAUACAAUUGAAAUUAAUACAUAUUUUAUUUGCAGAAAUGGCAUUAUGGCUAUCUCGAUUGCUAAAUUCAGUAUUAAUAAAAAUGACACUGCACUUGAAAACAAUGUAUAGGUUUUUCUGUCUUGCAGGCAAGAAUUCCUAAGUAGGCACAAGAACUGCCAGGAAACCACUGCCAAUCAUGAUUUAAAUUAUUCAUAGCCAAAAAAUUUCAAAAGCAAAAUCAUAAUUUUAAAAUUUAUUUUUAUAGCAAAAAAAAAAUACCCUCUAUAUUUAAUGCGGGAUGGAAGUAGAUUCUAAUACGUGUGAUAUCGAGUGGGGUUGGGACCUCCAAAAGUGACAGGGUCUAGGACUGAGAAGGUGUGAACAUAGUUCUAACCUAAGGUCAUAUGUUGGAUGUCAGGGGAACAGGCAUCUCUUUAAUUUGUACAGUUGGAAAGCUGAAGGUAUAUAAAGAUAAAAUAGCAGUUCUAUUAUAGGCAUUAAAGAAAAGGUCUCCAGUUCAUGCGCCAGGGUUGUGGGUUAGGUAAGCCACUUUGCUCCAGCUUUCUGGGGGCCAGCUCUGCCCAGCCUCCCACCCUCACCCCAACCUCCCUCCUCUUUCUAUAACGUGGCCUCAUUCAUUUACUUCAGUAGCUCCUUUCUGGAACAAAUUCUCACAUUGCAGUCCUUUCCAGAAUGCUACAGUAACAGAGUUCUCAAAGGCUUUGAUUGAUGGGGUUUGAAACACUCUUUCUUUUUGGAAAUAUUUAUAUUUGAUCCCUUUUGGACAGACUGCACAUAACUAGAGCUUAUCACAUUGCUGAAAAUGAUGGGCAGAGUCUGAGAGACAGGAACCCUGAGUCGGCCGAGCCCUGGGAGAGCAAAGAUUAAUAUCCAUUUGUGCUUUGCUGUCCUCAACCCUGAUAACUGUAAAUAACGUUUGGAAAAGAUCGGGGUGCAUCAUGAUCUAUUACAUGGUGGCGACGAUUCUGGUUGUUAUGUCUUCCACAGUGAUUUAUCAUUCUCUGCAGUGACACAAAUCAUGGUCCUUGCCUGCCACUCUGGAAUGUAUGAUCUGCUGACUGGAACAGUGAUGAAUUUGUGUUUAUAUCAUAACAUUUUUAACCUGAGCUUGACCUGACCUCCUGCUCCAAUUUGGGAAUGUACUAAAAAUAUAUUUUUGUAAACCUCUAUGGUUUUGCUGGCUGGUGUUAAGAUAGAAAACACUUUUCCUCUUUUGGGGGGGACUAAUGUGAAGUGGUGCAAAUAAUAAGAAGGUCAAAUUGUGGAUAAAACAUUGUCUCAAUUGUUUUCUUACCUGUAAGAGAUCGGUAUAAUCUUGCCUUGUUCCAGCAAUCGGCAUCCUCAGAGCUGUUAAGCAGAAGGCCCUGGUAGUUUCUUUUUUCAAGACCUGGAAACCAAGAAGUGUCUACUAAUCUCUCUGUGUCUUUGUUUGAAGUGUGUGUGGGCUCUUGUGGACAAGUGUCUGAGUCUGUGUGCGUUAGUUGCUCCAUGAGGGGCAGGUGAGUGAAUCCAGGCCCUUCAGGCUGCCCUUUAAGGCAAUACUUUUCUCUGAAAUAGGGUCCAGGGACUUAAGAUCUUUGAAAGCUCUACAUGAAAAUGCUAUAUAUUUUUUUCAACCACAUUUCUUUCUGCGAAGUGUGGGAGUUGCAUGAAAUACAAAAAAUAAAAAUAAAAAAAUUUAAAAUCUCAUCAUUCCUUUCUGAAAUGAUCUUUGUAUGCUAUUCAAAUUGAUUGUCUUUUUUUAUUUUUUAAAUUCAUAUGAGGAACCCAAGGAUCUGGGGUUAAGAAAUGAUAUUUGAAUUGCAACUGUUCACAUGUAAAUGGGCGACUUAGAAAGCAAAUGCAUUUUAGACCAAAAACUUUUUUUUAAGGUAUUUUGCUAGAUUCUCAGUUUAGAGACAGAAUGUGCAAUAACCUGGCAAAGCAGUGGAGAAGGGGACGUUUUUCCAAGUGUCCCACCUUGACCACAGCAUUGCCCCCUCAACUCCUCAUCGGUCAUGGGCUCUAGGCUUGGCUUGUCCAAAGCCCUCACAGUCUCCUUGGUCACUCACAGACUGUCUCCUGUUUUCAAAUGCCUAUCAGUGAGCUAAGAUGACAAAUUUGCCCGUGAUCAUGUGCUGAAGUGAUAUGGAUUUCAGCUGAAGCCUCCUGGAAUCAACUCUCGUGGCACUGCCGAAGCCUGUGGUGACUUCGAGGGUGGAAUCUCAGGUGAGCGUGGAUCCAGGGAAAAGUGGAAGCACAUUGGUAUCAGUCAGACCCCUCAUCUCAUCUGACAACGAAGAGGCAAACACUUAUGCCACCUUAUUUUUCCAAUUUUUAGAUGGAGAAUCCUGAGUCACUCUCAAAACAAUAGAAAUUUCACAAGUAUCAGACUGACACGAGUUUGCUUAUUGCAAACCCGGAGGAA